RNAcentral lists this ribosomal RNA (460 nucleotides) under uncultured bacterium. Its description in RNAcentral is "partial 16S ribosomal RNA". It matches the Rfam family "Bacterial small subunit ribosomal RNA", at positions 338 to 795 of the family's 1533-position model. The record is from RNAcentral.
CCUACGGGAGGCAGCAGUGAGGAAUAUUGGUCAAUGGACGAGAGUCUGAACCAGCCAAGUAGCGUGAAGGAUGACUGCCCUCUGGGUUGUAAACUUCUUUUAUAUGGGAAUAAAAUGUUCCACGUGUGGGUUUUAGUAUGUACCAUAUGAGUAAGAGUCGGGUAACUUCGUUCCAGAAGCGUCUGUAAGACGGAGGAUCCGAGCGUUAUACGGAUUUUUUUGGUUUAAAGGGAGCGUAGGUGGAUUGUUAAGUCAGUUGUGAAAGUUUGCGGCUCAACCGUAAAAUUGCAGUUGAAACUGGCAGUCGUGAGUACAGUAGGGGUGGGCGGAAUUCGUGGUGUAGCGGUGAAAUGCUUAGAUAUCACGAAGAACUCCGAUUGCGAAGGCAGUUCACUGGACUGCAACUGACACUGAGGCUCGAAAGUGUGGGUAUCAAACAGGAUUAGAUACCCUAGUAGUC